RNAcentral lists this microRNA (22 nucleotides) under Pristionchus pacificus. RNAcentral describes it as "ppc-miR-312b-3p". Its record names the gene ppc-miR-312b-3p. The record is from miRBase by way of RNAcentral. Lineage: Eukaryota; Metazoa; Nematoda; Chromadorea; Rhabditida; Neodiplogasteridae.
UAUGGCACAUCGAGACGGAGAA